CCUGCAGCUGGGUCGCCUGUUGCAGG
Molecule: non-coding RNA, 26 nt
Submitted as: unclassified sequences
Source: Rfam